Molecule: ribosomal RNA, 1224 nt
Filed under: metagenome
Description: bacterial LSU rRNA
Rfam family: Bacterial large subunit ribosomal RNA
Source: RNAcentral
GCAAAUUUACACCGUAACUUCGGGAGAAGGUGUGCCGCUGGCGGUUAGUGACUUCGCGUCACGAAGCUGUCGGUGGUCGCAGUGAAAUGGCGGUUGUGACUGUUUACUAAAAACACAGGACUCUGCGAAGUCGUAAGACGACGUAUAGGGUCUGAUGCCUGCCCGGUGCUGGAAGGUUAAGGGGAUAUGUCAGCGCAAGCGAAGCAUUGAACCGAAGCCCCAGUAAACGGCGGCCGUAACGAUAACGGUCCUAAGGUAGCGAAAUUCCUUGUCGGGUAAGUUCCGACCUGCACGAGGGCAUAACAACAUCCGCACUGUCUCGACCAGGGACUCAGCGAAGUUACAUUGGGGGUGAAGAUGCCCUCUACCCGCGGAAAGACGGAAAGACCCCAUAACCUUUACUGCAACUUGGCAGUGAUUUUCGGGUUGUUCUGCGUAGGAUAGGUGGGAGGCUUUGAAGUCGGGCUUCCGGGUUCGACUGAGCCAACGUUGAAAUACCACCCUGAAUAAUCUGGAAAUCUAACCUGCGCCCAUGAUCUGGGCGAGGGACACUGCCUGGUGGGCAGUUUGACUGGGGCGGUCGCCUCCUAAAUUGUAACGGAGGCGUGCGACGGUUCCCUCAGGCUGAUUGGAAACCAGCCGUAGAGUGCAAACGCAUAAGGGAGCUUUACUGCGAGACUGACAAGUCGAACAGUUGCGAAAGCAGGUGUUAGUGAUCCGGUGGUACCACAUGGAAGGGCCAUCGCUCAUCGGAUAAAAGGUACUCUGGGGAUAACAGGCUGAUCGCGCCUGAGAGUUCACAUCGGCGGCGCGGUUUGGCACCUCGAUGUCGGCUCAUCGCAUCCUGGGGCUGGAGCAGGUCCCAAGGGUUUGGCUGUUCGCCAAUUAAAGCGGUACGCGAGCUGGGUUUAAAACGUCGUGAGACAGUUUGGUCCCUAUCUUCCGUGGGCGCAGGACACCUGAGAGGAGCUAUCCAUAGUACGAGAGGACCUGGAUGGACGAACCUCUGGUGCUCCGGUUGUCACGCCAGUGGCAUAGCCGGGUAGCCAUGUUCGGAACAGAUAACCGCUGAAGGCAUAUAAGCGGGAAGCUGGCCUCAAGACUAGGUGUCCCUGACGCAAGUCACUAAAGGCCCCUCGAAGACUACGAGGUUGAUAGGCUCGGUGUGGAAGCGCUGCAAGGCGCGGAGCUAACGAGUACUAAUAGGCCGUGCGACUUGACCUC